This 242-nucleotide small RNA is filed under the name Cryptococcus neoformans H99. RNAcentral describes it as "Cryptococcus neoformans var. grubii H99 hypothetical RNA". Lineage: Eukaryota; Fungi; Basidiomycota; Tremellomycetes; Tremellales; Cryptococcaceae. The record is from RNAcentral.
UUAUGAAGGUAGGAAACACUUUGCAACGUAUAUAGGGCAGGACACGAUGGCCCCCUGGGCGACAGCCCCUCAUUCAACGUUGGAUUGUGUAUAUGUAGUACAAGAUAAUGAGUGUUACAGGGAGUUAGUUAGGACGCUAAGUAGUGGGAUCUGAAUUUGUCAAGAACACAGGCGAUUGACGCUUGAUGGCCGCGUGACGAGAGUCUCAAUAAACGUACAAAUACAAUACAAUGCAUCAUUAU